This 164-nucleotide ribosomal RNA is filed under the name Alkalihalophilus pseudofirmus. RNAcentral's name for it is "Bacillus pseudofirmus partial 16S ribosomal RNA". It matches the Rfam family "Bacterial small subunit ribosomal RNA", at positions 1378 to 1533 of the family's 1533-position model. Lineage: Bacteria; Bacillati; Bacillota; Bacilli; Caryophanales; Bacillaceae. The record is from RNAcentral.
GCCUUGUACACACCGCCCGUCACACCACGAGAGUUUGUAACACCCGAAGUCGGUGGGGUAACCUUUUGGAGCCAGCCGCCUAAGGUGGGACAGAUGAUUGGGGUGAAGUCGUAACAAGGUAGCCGUAUCGGAAGGUGCGGCUGGAUCACCUCCUUUCUAUGGAG